RNAcentral lists this ribosomal RNA (476 nucleotides) under uncultured bacterium. RNAcentral's name for it is "bacterial SSU rRNA". It matches the Rfam family "Bacterial small subunit ribosomal RNA", at positions 8 to 475 of the family's 1533-position model. The record is from RNAcentral.
AGAGUUUGAUGGUGGCUCAGAUUGAACGCUGGCGGCAGGCCUAACACAUGCAAGUCGAACGGUAACAGGAAGAAGCUUGCUUCUUUGCUGACGAGUGGCGGACGGGUGAGUAAUGUCUGGGAAACUGCCUGAUGGAGGGGGAUAACUACUGGAAACGGUAGCUAAUACCGCAUAACGUCGCAAGACCAAAGAGGGGGACCUUCGGGCCUCUUGCCAUCGGAUGUGCCCAGAUGGGAUUAGCUAGUAGGUGGGGUAACGGCUCACCUAGGCGACGAUCCCUAGCUGGUCUGAGAGGAUGACCAGCCACACUGGAACUGAGACACGGUCCAGACUCCUACGGGAGGCAGCAGUGGGGAAUAUUGCACAAUGGGCGCAAGCCUGAUGCAGCCAUGCCGCGUGUAUGAAGAAGGCCUUCGGGUUGUAAAGUACUUUCAGCGGGGAGGAAGGGAGUAAAGUUAAUACCUUGCUCAUGACGU